This 256-nucleotide ribosomal RNA is filed under the name uncultured bacterium. RNAcentral describes it as "partial 16S ribosomal RNA". It matches the Rfam family "Bacterial small subunit ribosomal RNA", at positions 99 to 354 of the family's 1533-position model. The record is from RNAcentral.
CGGACGGGUGAGUAACGCGUGGGCAACCUGCCCCGCACUCGGGGACGAACAGCUGGAAACGGCUGCUAAUACCGCAUAGGCGCACAGCCUCACAUGAGGCAGUGUGGAAAACUCCGGUGGUGCGGGAUGGGCCCGCGUCUGAUUAGCUGGUUGGCGGGGUAACGGCCCACCAAGGCAACGAUCAGUAGCCGGCCUGAGAGGGUGGACGGCCACAUUGGGACUGAGACACGGCCCAGACUCCUACGGGAGGCAGCAG